Molecule: ribosomal RNA, 387 nt
Filed under: uncultured Sphingobacteriales bacterium
Lineage: Bacteria; Pseudomonadati; Bacteroidota; Sphingobacteriia; Sphingobacteriales
Description: bacterial SSU rRNA
Rfam family: Bacterial small subunit ribosomal RNA
Source: RNAcentral
UGACAGCUGUCGAAAGAUGGUUUUCUUCGGACACUCUUCAAGGUGCUGCAUGGUUGUCGUCAGCUCGUGCCGUGAGGUGUCGGGUUAAGUCCCAUAACGAGCGCAACCCUUACCGUUAGUUACCAUCAGGUUAAGCUGGGGACUCUAGCGGGACUGCCACCGUAAGGUGAGAGGAAGGUGGGGAUGACGUCAAAUCAGCACGGCCCUUAUGUCCAGGGCUACACACGUGUUACAAUGGCCGGUACAAAGGGCAGCUACUUCGCGAGAAGAUGCUAAUCUCGAAAGCCGGUCUCAGUUCGGAUCGAAGUCUGCAACCCGACUUCGUGAAGCUGGAUUCGCUAGUAAUCGCGCAUCAGCCAUGGCGCGGUGAAUACGUUCCCGGGCCUU